This 460-nucleotide ribosomal RNA is filed under the name uncultured bacterium. RNAcentral's name for it is "partial 16S ribosomal RNA". It matches the Rfam family "Bacterial small subunit ribosomal RNA", at positions 338 to 795 of the family's 1533-position model. The record is from RNAcentral.
CCUACGGGAGGCAGCAGUGAGGAAUAUUGGUCAAUGGCCGAGAGGCUGAACCAGCCAAGUCGCGUGAGGGAAGAAUGUCCUAUGGAUUGUAAACCUCUUUUGUCAGGGAGCAAAGUCACCCACGUGUAUGUGUUGGAGAGUACCUUAAGAAAAAGCAUCGGCUAACUCCGUGCCAGCAGCCGCGGUAAUACGGAGGAUCCGAGCGUUAUCCGGAUUUAUUGGGUUUAAAGGGAGCGUAGGUGGAUGGAUAAGUCAGUUGUGAAAGUUUGCGGCUCAACCGUAAAAUUGCAGUUGAGACUGGUAGUCUAGAGAACAGUAGAGGUAGGCGGAAUGUGUGGUGUAGCGGUGAAAUGCUUAGAUAUCAUGCAGAACUCCGAUUGCGAAGGCAGUUUACUGGACUGCUACUGACACUGAGGCACGAAAGCGUGGGUAGCAAACAGGAUUAGAUACCCCAGUAGUC